AAGUCGUAACAAGGUUUCCGUAGGUGAACCUGCGGAAGGAUCAUUGACAAAUCAAAAACAGUUGCUCUUAGAGGCUUUAAACCCCUUUAAGAGUUAACAUAAUAACCUGUGAAUCGCGAAGCUUGCUUCGUUAUUUGUUCAUGUAAGACUGGGUAAGGAGAGCUUAACACUCUCUUUAGUCAGACACUGCCUGCUCAAACAAAAACGUCUAACAUAAUGUCUUAAACAAAAACAAUAAAAGUUACAACUUUUAGCAAUGGAUCUCUUGGCUUCU
This 274-nucleotide unclassified non-coding RNA is filed under the name fungal sp. Its description in RNAcentral is "partial internal transcribed spacer region". The stretch from base 1 to 46 matches the Rfam family "Eukaryotic small subunit ribosomal RNA", at positions 1786 to 1831 of the family's 1831-position model. Lineage: Eukaryota; Fungi. The record is from RNAcentral.